CCUACGGGAGGCAGCAGUGAGGAAUAUUGGUCAAUGGACGAGAGUCUGAACCAGCCAAGUAGCGUGAAGGAUGACUGCCCUAUGGGUUGUAAACUUCUUUUAUAUGGGAAUAAAAUGUUCCACGUGUGGGAUUUUGUAUGUACCAUAUGCAUAAGGAUCGGCUAACUCCGUGCCAGCAGCCGCGGUAAUACGGAGGAUCCGAGCGUUAUCCGGAUUUAUUGGGGUUAAAGGGAGCGUAGGUGGAUUGUUAAGUUAGUUGUGAAAGUUUGCGGCUCAACCGUAAAAUUGCAGUUGAAACUGGCAGUCUUGAGUACAGUAGAGGUGGGCGGAAUUCGUGGUGUAGCGGUGAAAUGCUUAGAUAUAACGAAGAACUCCGAUUGCGAAGGCAGUUCACUGGACUGCAACUGACACUGAGGCUCGAAAGUGUGGGUAUCAAACAGGAUUAGAUACCCCUGUAGUC
Molecule: ribosomal RNA, 460 nt
Filed under: uncultured bacterium
Lineage: Bacteria
Description: partial 16S ribosomal RNA
Rfam family: Bacterial small subunit ribosomal RNA
Source: RNAcentral